GAGUUCCGCAAGGAACUCGUUCGAGGAUUGCUGCAGCAAGGCGGUCCCCGUGGCUCCUUCCGGCGGAAUCCUCCUCAGGCUCGCCACGAGGAGGAAGUUACCCAGCAGGCACACUUGCCAGUUGACACACCGCAUCGUCGGUGGCGUCGGUGUGUGCUCUGCUGGAGGAACCACCGGCGCAGGAGGGAGACCAGGGUGAUGUGCAGUUGCUGCGGCACCUCACUCUGCCCAACACCCUGUUUCCAGGCAUUCCAUGCCUGAAGGUGGUUGGGCAACAGAAGUUGUAAAUAGUGUAAAAUAUGUACAUAGUUUCUAUGUAUUUAUUUAUUGAAAAUGUAAAAACACCGUGCUUUCAGGCAUUUCAUGCCUGAAGAUCAUUUGAAAAUGAUAAACAUUUGAUAUAUUAUGUAAAUAAUGUAUAUAUUACCUAUGCAUAGACUUUCUAUGUAUUUGUAUUUGAAUUUUUGAAAAAAAUAAAAUUGACGUUUUACGCUAUGUUUCGAUCUCACGCACAGACAAACCAUUGAUUUGCACACUAAAAUGUGUGAUAUACACGUAAAUUGGACUUUAUACUAUAGUAUAAGAAAAUAAAAUCGUUCAUAGGACAUACAAUAAAGAUACAGUAAGUCUACAAACUUUUACAUGUUUCUGGAGUACAAAAACUUUAGGUUGCGGUUACUCGCAAACCAACCAUAGGAGCGCGCUGAAACUUCGCGUGCGUGAUGAGGCGGCCCGGGCGCGACGAGCGCGCGCUCCCGUCUAGACGAGAGUUGCCUGCUUCUAUUUCCCGUCUAGUUAGGUUUAAAACAUUGUUCCGACCCGGCCCUAUUGAUUAAAAAUUUUAAUUAAGGGAGGAAAAGCAUAUCGGAUACGAGUUUUAAAAUAUUAAAGGUGAGUUUCCUAGAUUGACUCGCUCUAUUGUUUGCAUAUAUUAUUUUCUCAUAAAAGAUGGCUGGUUGACACAACCGUUACGAAAGAAAGAACGGGUUAAAAAAAAAAAAAAAAAAA
Long non-coding RNA from Penaeus monodon (black tiger shrimp), 1008 nucleotides. RefSeq lists it as uncharacterized. NCBI's taxonomy places the organism in Eukaryota, Metazoa, Arthropoda, Malacostraca, Decapoda, Penaeidae. The transcript has 3 exons. The record is from RefSeq and is a predicted model, not a curated record.